Molecule: long non-coding RNA, 208 nt
Filed under: Brassica rapa (field mustard)
Lineage: Eukaryota; Viridiplantae; Streptophyta; Magnoliopsida; Brassicales; Brassicaceae
Description: long non-coding RNA (BRAP_LNC003626)
Source: RNAcentral
GGAGAUUGCUUCUCCGAAAGCAACCUGUUUUGAUCACUAGUGGGGCUGCCUCUCACGGUCACAGGUUUAAACAUUAAGUCAGAUUUGAGGGCAAAUCCUUUUGAAGGAGGAGGGGAUGAUGUGACCUUGUUCAGCAACAAGCCAAUAUCGUAUAAUAUAUCAAUCUGACGGCAAUUCAGAGACCGUCGAUCAUGCAAAAGGAUGCGAC